UCUUAUACUGAUUAUUCUGCGAAAAAGACAUUCUCCCUUCUUUAAUUUAAUUAGCUAAUGCAGAGCUGAAGGUUGUCCAGCAGACACACAAAAAGAUGCAUCAUCCUUCUUGAAAUUAAAGAGCUGUGGGGGCAGAAGCUUUCCCAUUCAUGUGUGGCAUAAGGAACAUGUAAAGUCUCUCAAAGAAGACAGAAAACCUCCCUGUGAUAUAUAGA
RNAcentral lists this long non-coding RNA (215 nucleotides) under Anas platyrhynchos platyrhynchos (common mallard). RNAcentral describes it as "lncRNA (ENSAPLG00000018582.1)". Lineage: Eukaryota; Metazoa; Chordata; Aves; Anseriformes; Anatidae. The record is from RNAcentral.